Molecule: long non-coding RNA, 2929 nt
Organism: Cavia porcellus (domestic guinea pig)
Lineage: Eukaryota; Metazoa; Chordata; Mammalia; Rodentia; Caviidae
Exons: 2
Source: RefSeq, a predicted model, not a curated record
UUAGAGUUCUUUAAAGCUCUAUUUAGAGUUUAUAGUUAGAACAUUUUGUUUAUUGAUAUGUCUCCUAUGCCUUAUUUUUCUCUUAAUUAUAAGUUGUAUUUCCUGUUCCCUCAAAAACAUUUUUUAUCGGGACUAAUAUGUCAUGGAGACUGGAUUCUGUUGUCUUCCUCUGAAGAGUGCUGUGUUCUAAGAGGCAGUUAUGUUCCUGGUGGGUCACCUUGAGCUUGUGGAACUUGGAUUUAUAAUUUUUUAGGGUGAGUAUCUCUUACAGUUUUGUCCUUGGUUCUGGAACAGUCUCCUUGGGGCUGAUUUGCUGUCCUGCUUUCUCUAGGUUUCCAGAGUGAAUGUUCAGCAAACCUCAGACCUGAUGUUUGUUCUCAGGGGACUGGCCCUGUGGCUGGGAAACAGGAAGCCCAGACCCCUACAAGUGUUCAAGGUGAUGGAACCGAAGGCAGCUGUGGCUCUCUUGGCACUUGGGGGUGGAAGCUGGCUGGUGACACUGCCCCUGGAGGCAGUUGGGGCUCUCAUUCUCCACAGAUGUCUGCAGAGGUGGCAGAAGGGAUGCUGGGUCCAUCUGGAGACAUCAUGAAAAGAGCAGUUACCUGGUCUGGAAUUCAUUCCUUUUCCAUGCUGUACCCCUGGUGGAGCCCUCUGUUGGCGAGCUCGGUAGGUCCGCACUGAUAGGGCUGUCCUCCCCAGGUGAGACCUGAGGCUGCAGCAAAGCUCCUCUCCAUUAUACUUGGUGUCCUUGCCCUACAGCUGGAGCUUCCUCAUCCUUGGAGAGCAUGUGGGGUGUGCUCGGGAGGCCACCCACUUUGCCUGCAGCAGAGGUUUCAGUGAGCAUUUUUUCUAGAGUUUACAUUUUUCUCCUAAAUAUUUGAGACUAAGCCUAUAUAGUGCGCACAAUAAAACAAAUUUCCAUUUUAACUUUAUAAGCCCUUCUGUUUACAAAAAUACCAAUCAGAACAUGCUGGGCCUGUGAGAGCCCACAACAGGGAGCUCAUAGUCAGGCAGACUCAAGGACCUAGGGUGAGGCUGCACCCCAGGAGUUCCUGAGUCAUCUGGGGUUUGCCCUGCUUGACCACGAGGGGUUGCUGGGCCUGGGGACAGCAGUUGUGAGGCUGCUCUCCUGUGUGUGUUUGCCACUGUGUCCUGCACGGUUGCUUCUUGCCUUGUUUUGUUCACCUUGGGGCUCCCCAGGUUUCUUCUUCCAAGCCUGGGUGUGCACAGCAUCCAUGGAACCUUCUCCUGGCCACAGCCCAAACCUCACCCCAGCAACCUCUCCUAAGCAGCAGUAAACUUCAGACCUCAAGAUGAUAUGUUUUUUUUUUUAAGAUGAUAUUUUUUGGAGUGGAGAUUUAAAAAAACCAAUUAGAAACCAAGUGAUUUCAGUUUCUAGCUUUACCCACGUUCUCACCACAACACUCACCAGCGGAUUCUAUGGUUCUGGUGGUUGCUGGAGGAAAACCAGAAAUUUUCAAGGAAAGAGAAAUCCUCCCGCUGCUUUGUGGAACCCUGGUCAAGUUUAUGUCUUGCGAAAAACAUUUCUCACUCCUAAGUGUUGCCAUACCACAAGGGGGGGCCCUCUGUGCUGGCUCUCCUAGGCACCCAGCUAGGUGUGGGAGGGGCUGGGUCUCAAUGUGCGGCUCUUCUCCCCUCAACCCCUGAGACAGUGAGGCUCUCCCACUAGGUGACUGCAGCUUGCUAGGCUAAAAUUCUGGAGUCUCUUUUCUUCAUUCUUCCUAUCACACAGCCUGCAAUGAAAAGCCAAGGGAAGAGCCAUGCUUGUUUCUUUUUACUGAGCAGACAAAGAGCAACAGCUUCCUAGAGCCCUUGGCAACAGUUUCUGCCAACUUCCUAUCUGUGGGACUUUGGUCAACAGCAGGCUAAGGUUAGACCAAUAAAGAGCCAGAGUUAGAUCCACAAUGGGUCAGGGUUAGACCAGGAGCUGGCUAGGGAUAGAGCGAUACCUGGCCAAAGUUAGAGGAAUAACUCAAGUACUGGAUCUGGGUCAGACUGGCUUGCAAGAGCCAAUGUUCAAGUUCCAAUCUUGAAAGUCAGUUUGUAAACAGUGGUUAUGUUUAGAUCUCACUUGUUCCCAAAGGCCGUGUGUAGGCAGGUGGCGGGCUGUGCCGUCAAGGGGAUGCUGAGGUGAUGGCUCUUCUCUCACCCCGUCACUGCCUUGAGGUGGGUGGGUUUCACUGCCACAUGCUCCACCAUGAGGCACUGCCUCAUCAGUACCAGCGGUACCACAAGCUCAGAAGACAGAAUCUCUGCAAUCAUGAGCAGAGACAAGGCUUUAUUCCUGUUAGCUGUUUCCCUCAGGUACAGAAUGCUAGCACAAUAGUCACUAUUAAGGAUUCAGUUAUGGUAACUUACCCAUGGAAAGUCAUAGAUUAAUAUCAUUAUAUAAGCAAACACAUUAUAUUGAACACAGAAGUGAGAAACACCAAGAACUUGCCCCUUGUGUUUUGCUGUCAUUGGUGCUCUGGAGGGUUCUGCAUCUUCGAUGCCUGUGUGGUGCAAGUGCCAAGAAAGCAAGGAAGACCCAAGGGCCCUGUGUUUGGUUGUUGGCGGAACGGCCUGUCCCCCUGUGACAGGUGAGAUGCUGUCAUCCAUGGUUUAUGCCCAGAAGGGACCAAGCAGAGCGUGUGGCUGUUGGCUGGUCAUGCCAGGAGACUAGAGGGCUGGGGCUUAGGGCCCAGGGAGUCCAGCAGGGAGGGAGCUGCAUUCAACAUGAGACCAGUGGUCCUCAGCUAAUGAAAGUCCUGGACACCCGGCUCAGGUGGGAACACGGGCUCUGUGUCACUACAGGUUGAUGUCCCCCCGAGUUCUGGGGCACACAUGUGAGUGGUGCCAGCAGCGCCCCCAUCAUCCUCUAAUGUAGCAGCUGGCUGGGUGCAGACAGGAGUUUGGCAAAAUCAAGAAA